This is a non-coding RNA of Myotis lucifugus (little brown bat), 75 nucleotides long. Lineage: Eukaryota; Metazoa; Chordata; Mammalia; Chiroptera; Vespertilionidae. The record is from Rfam.
GGUGAUUCUCAGGUGACACACCCCAGAAUCAGGCUCUCUCCUUUCUAGUUCUGGGUGUGUCACUCGAGAACCGCA